RNAcentral lists this ribosomal RNA (481 nucleotides) under uncultured bacterium. RNAcentral describes it as "bacterial SSU rRNA". It matches the Rfam family "Bacterial small subunit ribosomal RNA", at positions 29 to 507 of the family's 1533-position model. The record is from RNAcentral.
AUUGAACGCUGGCGGCAUGCCUUACACAUGCAAGUCGAACGGUAACGCGGGGCAACCUGGCGACGAGUGGCGAACGGGUGAGUAAUAUAUCGGAACGUGCCCAAUAGUGGGGGAUAGCCCGGCGAAAGCCGGAUUAAUACCGCAUGAGACCUGAGGGUGAAAGCGGGGGAUCGCAAGACCUCGCGCUAUUGGAGCGGCCGAUAUCAGAUUAGGUAGUUGGUGGGGGUAAAAGCCUACCAAGCCGACGAUCUGUAGCUGGUCUGAGAGGGCGACCGGACACACUGGGACUGAGACACGGCCCAGACUCCUACGGGAGGCAGCAGUGGGGAAUAUUGCGCAAUGGGCGAAAGCCUGACGCAGCGACGCCGCGUGCAGGAAGAAGGCCUUCGGGUUGUAACUGCUUUGUACGGACGAAAAGGACUCUGGUUAAUACCUGGGGCUCAUGACGGUACCGUAAGAAUAAGCACCGGCUAACUACGUG